UUCAAAUAUGUGUUGCUUGGUUGAUUGAUGACUUUUUCGAUUAUAUCUUACAUCCAUAAGCAUAGUGCAAGUUUUUCAAAGACAAAGAUCCCUUUACAAGGUUUACAGCUCAGUGCCAAUCACUGGGCUGGCUAUCCAUUAGGCAGGUACUGGAUAAUGGCUAAAAUUCCAGUACUGAACGCACAUUAUGGCAACAAAAGAGCCUGUUGUACUAUUCACUGCCAGCAGAUGGCAGGCCUUCAUCAGAAGUCCCUUCUAUGGCAUUUCCUUAUUUAUCCCUUUCAUCCUUCCAACCUUUCCAACGUUCCUUAUUUCACUGUACUAUUAAAAAUAAUUUAAACUUCUCUCUCUCUCAGACCAGAAUGAGAGCUUCUACAGGAUGAAAAUAUCUCCUAAUUCAUCUUGGACUCAUAAGUAUUGAGUAUUGGCCUGAACCGAGUAGGUAAAUAUUUUUGGAAUGAAUAAAUGCAUAUUUCUCUGAAAACUAGUAAAAUCCUACAACCAGCUCCAAACCUUCUUCUUUGACAAUUAAUCAAGAAACAUUAAUUGAUAACUUCUGUGUCCUAUCCAGAGAUGGAUAGGACAGAGAUGGAGGUUUAAAACAAUGAGGGAAUAAAAAACAAGCGGUUUUAGCCAACUGAAACCUUGUAUUGGGUGAGCCCCUCCAACUCUAACUCUUCCUAGGCUAAUGGUGAAGAUGAGGCCUCUGCCAUUUGGGUACCUCAGUCUGAUGGGAGAAACACGUCCCUAUCCUUGGGCGAUCGCUGUGUGGCUGGGAUUGGCAGGGCCCAGCCUUAGGCAGCUCCCAGAUUGAUGAAAGAAACAUACUUGGCAACACAAAACAGAUCUAGUCAUGGCUUUCAGACUGAUCCCCCCUCAUAUGCCUCUGUCCUCACAGGCCCAUGCAUCCAACAGACCACCAACUGAUGCCAUUUUCACACAGGAGGACCUCAUUUCCCUCCCCACACCUGGAACCCUGAAUCUGAAAGGGAAAACAGAAGUAUUCCACUUUUUUUCCCAGAGCAUAUUGUUGGGGAACUUGGACUCCUGGAAUCUCAUCAUCAUCCUGGAACAUUAGAGGUGGAAGGGGUCUUCAGGAUUACCUG
RNAcentral lists this long non-coding RNA (1106 nucleotides) under Homo sapiens (human). RNAcentral describes it as "HSALNT0094985". The record is from RNAcentral. Lineage: Eukaryota; Metazoa; Chordata; Mammalia; Primates; Hominidae.